Molecule: ribosomal RNA, 445 nt
Filed under: Staphylococcus aureus
Lineage: Bacteria; Bacillati; Bacillota; Bacilli; Caryophanales; Staphylococcaceae
Description: bacterial SSU rRNA
Rfam family: Bacterial small subunit ribosomal RNA
Source: RNAcentral
UAUAGAUGGAUCCGCGCUGCAUUAGCUAGUUGGUAAGGUAACGGCUUACCAAGGCAACGAUGCAUAGCCGACCUGAGAGGGUGAUCGGCCACACUGGAACUGAGACACGGUCCAGACUCCUACGGGAGGCAGCAGUAGGGAAUCUUCCGCAAUGGGCGAAAGCCUGACGGAGCAACGCCGCGUGAGUGAUGAAGGUCUUCGGAUCGUAAAACUCUGUUAUUAGGGAAGAACAUAUGUGUAAGUAACUGUGCACAUCUUGACGGUACCUAAUCAGAAAGCCACGGCUAACUACGUGCCAGCAGCCGCGGUAAUACGUAGGUGGCAAGCGUUAUCCGGAAUUAUUGGGCGUAAAGCGCGCGUAGGCGGUUUUUUAAGUCUGAUGUGAAAGCCCACGGCUCAACCGUGGAGGGUCAUUGGAAACUGGAAAACUUGAGUGCAGAAGAGG